UUUCUUCGGGGCAGGGUGAAAUUCCCAACCGACGGUAACAAGGAAACUUGAAGUCCGUGACCCGCUCGUUUUUACGAGUGGCUGAACCAGUGUAAGCCUGGUACCGACAGUAUAGUCUGGAUGGGAGAAGAA
This 132-nucleotide non-coding RNA is filed under the name uncultured Limosilactobacillus sp. Its description in RNAcentral is "FMN riboswitch (RFN element)". It matches the Rfam family "FMN riboswitch aptamer (RFN element)". From Rfam's summary of the family: The RFN element is a highly conserved domain that is found frequently in the 5'-untranslated regions of prokaryotic mRNAs that encode for flavin mononucleotide (FMN) biosynthesis and transport proteins. This element is a metabolite-dependent riboswitch that directly binds FMN in the absence of proteins. The record is from RNAcentral. Lineage: Bacteria; Bacillati; Bacillota; Bacilli; Lactobacillales; Lactobacillaceae.